GACAGAGGGUGCAAACGUUGUUCGGAAUUACUGGGCGUAAAGCGCGUGUAGGCUGCUCGGAAAGUCGGAUGUGAAAGCCCUGGGCUCAACCCAGGAAGUGCACUCGAAACUCCCGAGCUGGAGUCCCGGAGAGGAAGGCGGAAUUCUCGGUGUAGAGGUGAAAUGCGUAGAUAUCGGGGGGAACACCAGUGGCGAAGGCGGCGACCUGGGCCAAUACUGACGCUGAGGUGCGAAAGCGUGGGGAGCAAACAGG
This 253-nucleotide ribosomal RNA is filed under the name uncultured bacterium. RNAcentral describes it as "partial 16S ribosomal RNA". It matches the Rfam family "Bacterial small subunit ribosomal RNA", at positions 524 to 776 of the family's 1533-position model. The record is from RNAcentral.